RNAcentral lists this long non-coding RNA (227 nucleotides) under Pan paniscus (pygmy chimpanzee). RNAcentral's name for it is "lncRNA (ENSPPAG00000044343.1)". The record is from RNAcentral. Lineage: Eukaryota; Metazoa; Chordata; Mammalia; Primates; Hominidae.
ACAAGAGCUUGGUCUUUGUACCCAGGUUUCUCAGGAUAUCUAUGGCAAAUUGUGACAGAAUAUGAAUGAAUGAGAAGAGUAAUGAAUGUCAUUCAGCAAUGGGUGAAAUAUAACAGUUCUCUUAGGAACUCUCAUGUUACAGAGGAGCAGACUGCUACUUUAUAUAUUACUCACACACCUAUGAGGUACCCAUUCUUAUUAUCAUUUCAUAGAUAAAUGAACAGAAC